GGUGUCCCAAACGGCUCUGUUCAAGCCGUUCUUACUGUGCUAUGGGCGCGAACGAGGCCGUUUGUCCUGCUCCGCCGACUCCUGUGCCUCCCUGGUGCUCAGCUGGGUCUUAAACCCGGAAGUCUUAAAGGUUCCGGUCCGCACACCCCAGUUCCAGGGGAGUGCCGCUCCGCAUGGCGGAUGUAUGGCCUCUGGCUGGCGGGCACAGGCAGUCUUUGUCCUUUGAACGGCUAUAUGCCUUCUUGCCACAGCACUCCAGGGAGGGGACUGCUUUCUCCCACUGUGGACUGUGCCUCUGAACUAGGUACCGGCCCUGGACUGGCUCCCCUCCUCCCAAGGUGCACAAACAGGGCAGCCAGCCCCAGUCUGUAGAAAGCCCCACAGUUCGAGAUUGGAUCUUUCUCCAUCCCGGCCCAUGGUUUUUCUCUUGUCCAGGAAGGUAUUUCUAGUUAUGGAGCCAUGAAGAGAUUGGGCAUUGGAGACCAACCAAAGGCAGAUAACAAAUUGAAGAGCCUUUAUUCUUGGAAAGCUGCUAGAACUUCAGAACACGGAAUAUCUUGGAAACAUGACAAUGAAAGUCCCUUGCCAAGGGUGGCAGCUUACGAGAAGGAAGGAGUGAAAGGCGGAUCUCCCACCCUGAAACGGAAUUGCCUACCUCUGGACAUGGGGAAGUGAGGAAAGAAGAAAAAGGAAAACCUUAUGUAUCAGAUACGGGUCUGGAAGGCACAAGAUGUAGGCCCAAUCGGCUUUAAAAAUAAUUUCAUGAAGAGACUCUUUACAGAGAUGUGAGGGAGGAUACAGGAAAUGUGUUGCAGUUCUACAGAGAAAUAAAACCAGUAGGUUCUUUCCUUUCUUUUCUCCUUUCUUCCUCCCCUUCCUCCCUCCUCCUUUCUUUUUUUCCCUUUCUUCCCUUCCUUCUUUCUUUCUUGGAAGCGGUUCAUGUCAUUAUGGAGGCUGGCAAGUCCGAAGUCUGCAGGACUGAUGUCUCAGUCUCGGUCCGAAGCCCAGCAGGUUGCUACGGAGCUAAGAAGAGCUGGUGGCUUAGCCCGAAGGCCGCCAGGCAGGAGGAUUCUGCCUUAUCUGGGGAAGAGUCAGCUUUUCUGUUCUAUCCAGGUCGUCAACUGAUUGGAUCAGGCCCACCCACAUCGGGGAGGACAAUCCACUUUACUUGUUCUACCAAUCCAACUGCUAAAUCUCAUCCCAAAACACCUCCACAGACACACUCAGAAUAAUGUCUGACAAAAUAUCUGGGCACCCCAUGGCCCAUGCAGAUUGGCACACCAAACUGACCCAUCACAGGAACUAAGAAGAGAGGAUGCAACACCCAGAAGACUAGAAGCAGUGGGGAUUCUGACAGGUUAAGGGGAGGAACAGUAUUCAGUGGAGCCAGAGCCUGAGUCAGAGAAGAGAUGCUACCUCAUAUGACCUGUGACUACAAAGGAAAGUAACUCUGCCAGAACCAGAACCAUAGCUGUGGUCACCUCUGAGUUGGGAGGAAGAACCUGUCAAGACUCAUCAAUGCACUCUCCACAGACCAAACAGUUUGGUGGAAAACAGGAUGAGUCAUGUUAAACGAGCAAUUGGUUGGAGAUCCAGGAAAGCUAACGAUGUACUGACAGUCCAAGGCCCAAACGCCUAAGGACUGGGGGAUCUGAUGGUGUGAAUCCCAGUUCGAUGAGGGCAGAAGAUGCCAUGCGAUGUUCAAGCUCAAUCAGUGAGGCAGAAAAAAGAAGUCGUUUCCUCUUCUCUCUGCCUUUUGUUCUAUUCAGGCCCCCAGUGGGUUAGAUGAGGCCCACCCACACUGGGGAGGGUAAUUUACUUUACUGAGUCUGUCCGUUCAGACGCUAAUCACAGCCAGAAAUACAGACACGCCAAGAAAUAAUGUUUCAUUUGGGCAUCCCAUGCCAGUCAAGGUGACACAAAAUUAAUCGUCACGUAAGGAUUCUCUUAUUUCAUUCAUGUGCUGGUACAUAAAGGAAAGUUGAAUGAAAGGGUGUGUUUGAAGUAGACAGCUUGUCUCAGAGAAUUUAAGAAAUGAAACCCAAGUUGCAUGACAUUUCUGCUUAUUUUCUUCUUUUCUCUCGAUGCCAAGUCUUGGGUAUUUGCAGGAAAAAAUCCUGGGGCCCCUGGGUGGCUCAGUCUGUUGAACAUCCAGUGGUCAGCAGAUAAGGAAGACCAAGGAAAGGAGGCAGAAAAGAAGAAAAGGCAGCACCAGCCCAGACCUGCUACAGAGAACUUUGCAUGAAGGCUUGGUGAAAGUGGCAAGGAAUUACAGCACAAAUCAGUAAACAACCUAAGUUCGAGUAAGUGAAUAACCUUAUCUCAAGUUCAUCGGCCAUUUCUGCUCAUAUUUUCUUUUGGGCCACUGGCCUGCUGCCAUUUUUGUGGGUCCAUUCUCUCACUCUAGGGUCUUUCCCCCCCUCAUCUUUCUCCUAGUUCCAAAUUCACCUCCCACCCAUUUCAAAGAAAACCUUUUCAAAAUAGACAUUAUAACUACAUGUAAAAUUUACUGAUAAUUCGUUCAAUGGAAGAAUUUAGCUUCUGUUUUUCAACCUCCUUAUUCCAGUCUGCCCCAGACUUUGCCUUUUGAAGUCCCAAUGUAUCCUCUCAAACAAAAUGCCAGUUUGCAAUACAUAUUUAGCAAUCCAAGAAUUGUUAGAAAUUUUGAAAAUCACAGCUUUUCUUUAACUGCUUAAAGAUCAAAUUCUUAGGUGGUUUCAAGGUCAAAGCAUUACUCAUAGCUCUGUGACCAGGGGCUUUUGUUAAAGGAAGCAGGACAGGACUAGACUUUGUUACCCUUCCCUUUGUGAAUAGAAAAUCCAAGGGUCAGAAUUUAUGCUAUCUGCCCCUCCUCAUGGCCAAAUCCAGCUCCAACUGCCUAAUAUGGGCUGUGGUCCCAUUGAGAGACCUAUACUGUAGCUCUAGAGGAUGUCUCAGGUUCACAUCAUGGGGAAGGACCAGAAGUAAGAGAGAUAGAAAAGAAGUUUUUACAACUUCUGCCAAAAUAUAUAUCUUUGAAUUGGGCUUGGGAUGCUACAUUGACUGCCUUCCAGUGCUGCAUCAUGAAGCCAAAAUUGUUUUCCCAAAAUUCAGUAAGCCAGACUCUAGUUUCUAAGGAUGGGUGAGGUGGGGAAAGCAGAGAGCUGUUGGUGCUAACUUAAUGGUGUUAUUCAUUUCUUCAUGUUCUUUUUCUGAGUACAUUUCCAGUCCCAUUCUCUUUCUCGCUCCUUUCUGGGACUCCAAUGACACAUAAGUUGGAUAUUUUGUUAUAGUUCCACAGGUCCCUGAGGUGUCUCCCCUCUUCUUCCCCUGCCCCAGUCCUUCUGUUUUCUGUUUUCAGACUGGAAAAUUUCCAUUGUUCUGUCUUCAACUUCAUUGAUUCUUCACUCUAUCCUUUCCAUUCUGCUAUUGAGACCAUCCAUUAAGUUUUUUGUUUGUUUUUGUAUUAUAUUUUUCAAUUCUAAAAUUUCCAUUAGAUUCUUCUUUAUAUUUUCUUUGCUGAGACUUUCUAUUUUUUUUUUUAUUUAUUUCAGUCAUGUGUAUAAUUGUUUGCUGGAGCAUGUUUGUUGGAUUGCUGCUUUAAAAUCACUGUCAGAUAUUUAUUUAUUUAUUUAUUUAUUUAUUUAUUUAUUUUAGAGAGAUAGAGAGCGUGAGUGAGGCAGAGGGGCAGAGGGAGAGAGAGAGAGAAUCCCAAGUAGGCCAUGCUCAGCACAGAGCUCAACAUGGGGCUAGAUCUCAUGACCCUGGGAUCAUGACCCAAGCCAAAAUCAAGAGUCGGAUGCUCAACUCACUGAGACACCCAGACACCUCCAUUGUCAGGUAUUCCUAACCUCUGUGUCAUCUGGGUGUUGGUGUUUGUUGGUUACGUUUUCUGAUUCGUGCUGAGAUUUUCCUGGUUCCUGAUAGGCUGAGUGGUUUUUGAUGAAAAUAUAGAUGUCUGGAUCUUAUGUAAAACCUCUGUGAUAGUCGGCCUCCCCUGACUCAGAUCUGGUAGGUGAAGAAGGGCACUGCCUCGUGACUGCCAGGAGGGGUGGAAAUCCACGUUUCUCACUGAUAGCUGGAGAAGAGGUGAUCCUCAUUAUUGCUGGGUGUAGGUGUGGGUGGAAGGUCAGGCUUCUUGCUAGGUCUCUGCUGAUACUACUCUGGCUUGGAGGCGGGUGGGAGUGCCUUGUUACUGCUCCUCACAUGGCCUCCACCAACACCGUGGGGCUGAAGAGGUCCUUCUUACACUAGGCAGUGAUCAAAGUUUUGAUUUUUUUCUAGGCCACCUCUGACACCGCCCAGUGGGGUGAGGGAGGGGCAGGGAUGGAAAUCUAGCCUCCCCAGUGACACUAACAGGAUUGAGUUGGGUGGCGGAUGGGACCUGGCAUAGUGAAGAGCCCCAUCAUCAUUUGGGUCUCCUUUGAUACCAGUCUAGUGGAAGGGUUGGGGCACUUCAUUAUAGCCUGGCAAAGGUGGAAGGCUGUGUACCCUACUUGGACUUUGCUGGUAAGAGUACGGUUGGGGGGGGCACAGUUUUCU
Molecule: long non-coding RNA, 4521 nt
Organism: Felis catus (domestic cat)
Lineage: Eukaryota; Metazoa; Chordata; Mammalia; Carnivora; Felidae
Exons: 8
Source: RefSeq, a predicted model, not a curated record